RNAcentral lists this unclassified non-coding RNA (165 nucleotides) under uncultured Volutella. RNAcentral describes it as "sequence contains ITS2". The record is from RNAcentral. Lineage: Eukaryota; Fungi; Ascomycota; Sordariomycetes; Hypocreales; Nectriaceae.
CAACCCUCAAGCUCUGCUUGGUGUUGGGGAUCAGCGUUAGUGCCUUCGGGUGCUGCUGUCCCCUAAAUCUAGUGGCGGUCCCGCUGUAGCCUCCUCUGCGUAGUAGUUUUCUCCUCGCUCUGGAAUCUCAGUGGUGCCCUGCCGUUAAACCCCCAACUUCUGAAA